AUGGUGUGUACCACACUAAACGUGGACCAGAGGAAGCGAAGGAGAGAGUUGUCUCAGGAGAUUAGAAAGAAAAUUAUAGACAGGCACAUUAAAGGAGCUGAAACAUGCUGUCUGGAGAAAGCACCAUCAAACCUGAGACAACUGGAGGAGUUUGCUCCAGUGUGGGCCAAACUACCUGCUGAGAGAUGGAGAAGUUGUGCUCUGCGACUGACUGGCGACCAGUUCAGGGUGUAGUCCGCCUUUCGCCCGAAGUCAGCUGGGAUAGGCUCCAGCGCCCCGCCACCCUAACCAGGAUAAGCGGUGUUGAAAAUGGAUGGAUGGAUGGAGAUGCAGAAGUCUAAUUGAAAGGUGAUGUCUUUGUGAGGUGGCCAGGACGUAGUGAUGAUUGGGUGAAUAAUAAGUAUUAAAGAUGGUAUAUGCUGGG
This is a long non-coding RNA of Phyllopteryx taeniolatus (common seadragon), 424 nucleotides long. RefSeq lists it as uncharacterized. The transcript has 3 exons. NCBI's taxonomy places the organism in Eukaryota, Metazoa, Chordata, Actinopteri, Syngnathiformes, Syngnathidae. The record is from RefSeq and is a predicted model, not a curated record.